ACAGAUUUGUAUUUGAGAGUUGAGAGGAUGUGAUCUCCUCUUGUACUUAUUUUCUUCUUCUAUAGUAAAGCUUAUAUGCCCCGUGGAGGUAAGCCUUGGACUUAUCCAUAUAUUUGAUUGUGUCCUUUAUUUUAUCUCUUCUUUCUUUCUAUUGUGAUGUCGACACCAUCACCGACAUUAAGAUCCUGGGUGGGGGGAUUCAUAUUUCACACUCAUGAGGGAUCCUUCCCCAACAAGUGGUGUCAAAGUGCUAGGUUGUCUAGAUUACGGCAGU
This 274-nucleotide long non-coding RNA is filed under the name Elaeis guineensis (African oil palm). RNAcentral's name for it is "long non-coding RNA (EGUI_LNC023080)". Lineage: Eukaryota; Viridiplantae; Streptophyta; Magnoliopsida; Arecales; Arecaceae. The record is from RNAcentral.